RNAcentral lists this ribosomal RNA (468 nucleotides) under uncultured bacterium. RNAcentral's name for it is "partial 16S ribosomal RNA". It matches the Rfam family "Bacterial small subunit ribosomal RNA", at positions 28 to 507 of the family's 1533-position model. The record is from RNAcentral.
GAUGAACGCUGGCGGCGUGCUUAACACAUGCAAGUCGAACGGAAAGGCCGAAGCUUGCUUCGGUACUCGAGUGGCGAACGGGUGAGUAACACGUGGGUGAUCUGCCCUGUACUUCGGGAUAAGCUUGGGAAACUGGGUCUAAUACCGGAUAUGACGAUCUCUUGGAUGGGGUUGUGGAAAGCUUUUGCGGUAUGGGAUGAGCUCGCGGCCUAUCAGCUUGUUGGUGGGGUAAUGGCCUACCAAGGCGUCGACGGGUAGCCGGCCUGAGAGGGUGUACGGCCACAUUGGGACUGAGAUACGGCCCAGACUCCUACGGGAGGCAGCAGUGGGGAAUAUUGCACAAUGGGCGCAAGCCUGAUGCAGCGACGCCGCGUGGGGGAUGACGGCCUUCGGGUUGUAAACUCCUUUCGCAAUCGACGAAGCCUUUGGGUGACGGUAGGUUGAGAAGAAGCACCGGCUAACUACGUG